Molecule: ribosomal RNA, 272 nt
Filed under: uncultured Lachnospiraceae bacterium
Lineage: Bacteria; Bacillati; Bacillota; Clostridia; Lachnospirales; Lachnospiraceae
Description: partial 16S ribosomal RNA
Rfam family: Bacterial small subunit ribosomal RNA
Source: RNAcentral
AGCUUAGAGAGCUUGCUUUUUAAGCUUAGUGGCGAACGGGUGAGUAACGCGUGGGUAACCUGCCUUGUACUGGGGGAUAGCAGCUGGAAACGGCUGGUAAUACCGCAUAAGCGCACGGUAUCGCAUGAUACAGUGUGAAAAACUCCGGUGGUAUAAGAUGGACCCGCGUCUGAUUAGCUUGUUGGUGAGGUAACGGCUCACCAAGGCGACGAUGCGUAGCCGACCUGAGAGGGUGAUCGGCCACAUUGGGACUGAGACACGGCCCAAACUCC